CCUACGGGUGGCAGCAGUGAGGAAUAUUGGUCAAUGGACGCAAGUCUGAACCAGCCAUGCCGCGUGCAGGAUGACGGCUCUAUGAGUUGUAAACUGCUUUUAUACGAGAGUAAACGCCGUUACGCGUAUCUGUCUGAAAGUAUCGUACGAAUAAGGACCGGCUAAUUCCGUGCCAGCAGCCGCGGUAAUACGGAGGAUUCAAGCGUUAUCCGGAUUUAUUGGGUUUAAAGGGUGCGUAGGCGGCCGGAUAAGUUUGAGGUGAAAUCCCGGGGCUCAACUCCGGACUUGCAUCGGAAACUGGUCGGCUAGAGAGUAGUUGAGGUAGGCGGAA
RNAcentral lists this ribosomal RNA (331 nucleotides) under uncultured bacterium. RNAcentral's name for it is "partial 16S ribosomal RNA". It matches the Rfam family "Bacterial small subunit ribosomal RNA", at positions 338 to 666 of the family's 1533-position model. The record is from RNAcentral.